This 116-nucleotide non-coding RNA is filed under the name Homo sapiens (human). Lineage: Eukaryota; Metazoa; Chordata; Mammalia; Primates; Hominidae. The record is from Rfam by way of RNAcentral.
GUCGGGCGCGGUGGCUCACGCCUGUAAUCCCAGCACUUGGGAGGCUGAGGCAGGUGGAUCACCUGAGGUCAGGAGUUCAAGACCAGCCUGACCAACAUGGAGAAACCCUGUCUCUA